Molecule: ribosomal RNA, 497 nt
Filed under: uncultured bacterium
Lineage: Bacteria
Description: partial 16S ribosomal RNA
Rfam family: Bacterial small subunit ribosomal RNA
Source: RNAcentral
AUUGAACGCUGGCGGCAUGCUUUACACAUGCAAGUCGAACGGUAACAGGCCGCAAGAUGCUGGCGAGUGGCGAACGGGUGAGUAAUGCAUCGGAACGUGCCCAGUCGUGGGGGAUAACGCAGCGAAAGCUGUGCUAAUACCGCAUACGAUCUAUGGAUGAAAGCAGAAAACCGUAAGGCCUCGCGCGAUUGGAGCGGCCGAUGUCAGAUUAGGUAGUUGGUGGGGCAAAGGCUCACCAAGCCGACGAUCUGUAGCUGGUCUGAGAGGACGAUCAGCCACACUGGGACUGAGACACGGCCCAGACUCCUACGGGAGGCAGCAGUGGGGAAUUUUGGACAAUGGGGGCAACCCUGAUCCAGCAAUGCCGCGUGAGUGAAGAAGGCCUUCGGGUUGUAAAGCUCUUUUGUCAGGGAAGAGACACCGGCUCUAACACAGUCCGGGAAUGACGGUACCUGAAGAAUAAGCACCGGCUAACUACGUGCCAGCCGCCGCAGUAA